Molecule: non-coding RNA, 165 nt
Filed under: uncultured Blautia sp.
Lineage: Bacteria; Bacillati; Bacillota; Clostridia; Lachnospirales; Lachnospiraceae
Description: Lysine riboswitch
Rfam family: Lysine riboswitch aptamer
About the family: Riboswitches are metabolite binding domains within certain messenger RNAs that serve as precision sensors for their corresponding targets. Allosteric rearrangement of mRNA structure is mediated by ligand binding, and this results in modulation of gene expression.
Source: RNAcentral
GAUGAUAGAGGUGCGAAACUCAUGAGUAUUCCUGCGGAGAUGCUCAACCAUCUAGGAGGCAGUGAGAAAGGGAGUUUUGCCGAAAUGGGACGUUGGAUUGAGAAGCGUUCUGUUGGCCGGCAGGAGAAGAUGUUGCCGGCUGUCACAUUAUGUGGAGCGCUAUCG